GGUCUAGUAGUUUAAUUAAAACAUUUGGUUUGCAUCCGGAAAAUGAAGAUAUUAUCUUAGGCUA
Molecule: transfer RNA, 64 nt
Filed under: Cyclophorus martensianus
Lineage: Eukaryota; Metazoa; Mollusca; Gastropoda; Architaenioglossa; Cyclophoridae
Description: tRNA-Ala
Source: RNAcentral